RNAcentral lists this unclassified non-coding RNA (335 nucleotides) under soil metagenome. RNAcentral describes it as "partial contains 5.8S ribosomal RNA, internal transcribed spacer 2, and large subunit ribosomal RNA". The stretch from base 1 to 120 matches the Rfam family "5.8S ribosomal RNA", at positions 35 to 154 of the family's 154-position model. The record is from RNAcentral.
GAUGAAGAACGCAGUGAAAUGCGAUAAGUAGUGUGAAUUGCAGAAUUCAGUGAAUCAUCGAAUCUUUGAACGCACAUUGCGCCACUUGGUACUCCAUGGGGCAUGCCUGUUCGAGCGUCAUUUACACCCUCAAGCUCAGCUUGGUGUUGGGCGUCUGUCCCGCUUCGUGCGCGGACUCGCCUCAAAUGCAUUGGCAGCGGUCUUGCCAGCUUCUCGCGCAGCACAUUGCGCUUCUAGAGGCUUUGGCGGAUCGGCGUCCAUCAAGUACACCCACAGUUUGACCUCGGAUCAGGUAGGGAUACCCGCUGAACUUAAGCAUAUCAAUAAGCGGAGGA